Molecule: ribosomal RNA, 256 nt
Filed under: uncultured bacterium
Lineage: Bacteria
Description: partial 16S ribosomal RNA
Rfam family: Bacterial small subunit ribosomal RNA
Source: RNAcentral
UAAUACGUAGGUGGCAAGCGUUGUCCGGAUUUACUGGGUGUAAAGGGCGCGUAGGCGGGACUGCAAGUCAGAUGUGAAAUCUGGGGGCUUAACCCUCAAACUGCAUUUGAAACUGUAGUUCUUGAGUAUCGGAGAGGCAGGCGGAAUUCCUAGUGUAGCGGUGAAAUGCGUAGAUAUUAGGAGGAACACCAGUGGCGAAGGCGGCCUGCUGGACGACAACUGACGCUGAGGCGCGAAAGCGUGGGGAGCAAACAGG